CAGUUAGAUUAGAAUUUCAGACACAGAAUGAAUACAUUUUAGUAUAAGUAUAACUCAUGCAAUAUUUGGGACAUACUUACACUAAAAAUAAUUGUUCAUUUUUUAUUUGUUAGAUCUGA
This 119-nucleotide microRNA precursor is filed under the name Dasypus novemcinctus (nine-banded armadillo). RNAcentral's name for it is "miRNA (ENSDNOG00000030200.2)". The stretch from base 36 to 87 matches the Rfam family "mir-1302 microRNA precursor family". Lineage: Eukaryota; Metazoa; Chordata; Mammalia; Cingulata; Dasypodidae. The record is from RNAcentral.